UCAACCCAUUUAACCUUCUAACCCAUCAAAUUAAAUGAGUUCAUGGGUUGACUCAACUCAUUUGCUUAAAUGAGUUGAGUCAACCCAUGAACUCAUUUAACUCUAAACUCAUUGGGUAAUGAGU
Arabidopsis thaliana x Arabidopsis arenosa is the source of this 124-nucleotide non-coding RNA. The record is from the annotation of a GenBank genome assembly. NCBI's taxonomy places the organism in Eukaryota, Viridiplantae, Streptophyta, Magnoliopsida, Brassicales, Brassicaceae.